GUCAGGACAAAGGGAAUGGGCCCUGAAACGGAUAGCUUCCGGUUUCCACGGGUGUUUUACCCUUUUGAGAAUGGAGUUCUUACAAAUGCAAUGGGCAUCAUUUACUUUUUUUCUUUUCUUUGUUCGCGGUUCUAGGGAUGAAACCCAAGGGCUCCUCUAUUGCAAUCAGGCGCGUCCCUGCUGAGCCACGUUCCCACACCCAAAAUACAUCGGGAAGGGAAGGGAAGAUAGUCCAAUAUGAUUGGUGUCCUCAUGAGAAGAAUGAACUUUAGACACUGAAUCAGGAAGAAUACCAUGUGAAGGCAGAAGCAGAGAGGCAUCUUCUGGGUGAGGAACGCCUGCCUGGGUCCCCAGACAUUGGAACAGCAUGCACAUUCUCCUGAGACUGCAGAGGAACACAGUUCUCUGGUAUCUUGACUUCAGACUUACAGCCCCCAAAUGUCUGCUGUUUUAUGCCAAUUCACUUUUAGUUAAUUUUAAGGCAGCCCUUAGAACCCAAUUCAGUAUCAAAGAAAUUAUUAGCAAAGCAACUCAAUUGCUAUAGCAAACUUAAUUUCUUUUCUUCAAAAAUUAAGUUUAUAAUUAAUAACUUCAGCCAUUAACUGAGACUUUCUCAUCUUCUUGAUGUUAUUGGCCGAGAACAUAUUCCAACAGGAAGUGUCUUUUAUUUUUCCCCCCGAAGUUGGUCAUAAAUGUUUGAUUUCUAAGGUCUGGGGCAAAGGCAAGCCUUUACAAAAGAAAGCUGGGUGGAGGUGAGACUGUAUAUGCAACACCUUUCUAAGCUUUGUUCUCCUGAGUCUGAUGUACUAGCAAUAUAGCCGUGGUUGAAGGUAUUCAUUCUUCUGUUGCCUGAGAUAUUAAUUUUUUCCAGGUUUGCCUAUUUGUUUACUAAUAAUACCCAUAUUUAGGCAAAAUAGUGGGCAUUGCAUGACACAUGAUAUUUUUAACAACAUAAUUAAGAAAUUCUGCUGUGGUGGUAGACUGAUGAGAGUAAAGAAACUCUAGAAUUGGGGAAAUGAGCUCUAGAAUUGUUGCCAAAAACUAUUCAUAUAAAGUGAGAACUGUGUUCUGUAGGAAACUACAGGCUACUUGAUUUCUAGAGGACACAACAACGUUGAUUUAUGAAAGAUGUUUAAUGUGAGUGGGAGGGAAUAUUGAUGGAGAGACAGAAAGAGAAAGAGGCUAAACAUUUAUUAAUAAG
Molecule: long non-coding RNA, 1201 nt
Filed under: Marmota monax (woodchuck)
Lineage: Eukaryota; Metazoa; Chordata; Mammalia; Rodentia; Sciuridae
Source: RNAcentral